GUUGCAAAUUACUUGAGCACUGGCAGCC
RNAcentral lists this non-coding RNA (28 nucleotides) under Cricetulus griseus (Chinese hamster). Lineage: Eukaryota; Metazoa; Chordata; Mammalia; Rodentia; Cricetidae. The record is from RNAcentral.